Molecule: ribosomal RNA, 365 nt
Filed under: Chasmophora macrophthalma
Lineage: Eukaryota; Metazoa; Arthropoda; Malacostraca; Decapoda; Panopeidae
Description: partial 12S small subunit ribosomal RNA
Source: RNAcentral
UAUUAUUUUAAUAAAUAUUUUAAGCCUGGAUUAUUAAUAGAUAUAUUCUUUAAAUUUAAAGAAUUUGGCGGUAAUUUAGUCUUGUUAGAGGAACCUGUUUUACAUGAUCGACAAACCACGUAUAAUCUUAUUCAUUUUGUUAAUUAGCUUAUAUACCGUCAUUAACAGACAAUUUUUAGAAAAUUAAUUGUUAAAAUUUUAAAACGAAAUAAAAUUAGAUCAAGGUGUAGCCUAUAAAUGAGUUAAAAUGGGUUACAAUAAAAUUUAUUUAAAACGAAAAAAGUGUAAAUAGAAUAAUCUUGAAGAAGGAGGAUUUAAUUGUAAUUUAAGUUUAAUAAGCUAAGAAGAUAUAAGCUCUAAAUUAU